CCUACGGGUGGCAGCAGUGAGGAAUAUUGGUCAAUGGGCGUAAGCCUGAACCAGCCAAGUCGCGUGAGGGAUGAAGGCCCUACGGGUCGUAAACCUCUUUUAUAAGGGAAUAAAGUGUGGGACGUGUCCCAUUUUGUAUGUACUUUAUGAAUAAGGAUCGGCUAACUCCGUGCCAGCAGCCGCGGUAAUACGGAGGAUCCGAGCGUUAUCCGGAUUUAUUGGGUUUAAAGGGUGCGUAGGUGGGUUUUUAAGUCAGUGGUGAAAGUUUGCGGCUCAACCGUAAAAUUGCCGUUGAUACUGGCAGCCUUGAGUACGGUUGAGGUAGGCGGAAUGCGUGGUGUAGCGGUGAAAUGCUUAGAUAUCACGCAGAACCCCGAUUGCGAAGGCAGCCUACCAA
This 397-nucleotide ribosomal RNA is filed under the name uncultured bacterium. RNAcentral describes it as "partial 16S ribosomal RNA". It matches the Rfam family "Bacterial small subunit ribosomal RNA", at positions 338 to 732 of the family's 1533-position model. The record is from RNAcentral.